Molecule: unclassified non-coding RNA, 253 nt
Filed under: uncultured Planctomycetia bacterium
Lineage: Bacteria; Pseudomonadati; Planctomycetota; Planctomycetia
Description: contains 16S-23S intergenic spacer region
Rfam family: Bacterial small subunit ribosomal RNA
Source: RNAcentral
GACGAACCGUGCGAACGUUGUUCGGAAUCACUGGGCUUAAAGGGCGCGUAGGCGGGCUGCCAAGUCCGUGGUGAAAUCCCCCGGCUCAACCGGGGAAUGGCCUCGGAUACUGGUGGCCUCGAGGGAGGUAGGGGCGUGCGGAACUGUAGGUGGAGCGGUGAAAUGCGUUGAUAUCUACAGGAACUCCGGUGGCGAAGGCGGCACGCUGGACCUUUUCUGACGCUGAGGCGCGAAAGCCAGGGGAGCGAACGGG